AGAGUUUGAUCCUGGCUCAGGACGAACGCUGACGGUGUGCUUUAGGCAUGCAAGUCGAACGAGAAAACCCUUCGGGGUGAGUAAAGUGGCGAACGGGUGAGUAACACGUGGGCAACCUGCCCCUCGCAGGGGGACAACCGGAGGAAACUCCGGCUAAUACCCCGUACGCUUGUUGGAUCGCAUGGUCCGGCAAGGAAAGGUAGCUUCGGCCAUCCGGCGAGGGAUGGGCCCGCGUUGCAUUAGCUAGUUGGUGGGGUAACGGCCUACCAAGGCGACGAUGCGUAGCUGGUCUGAGAGGAUGAUCAGCCACACUGGGACUGAGACACGGCCCAGACUCCUACGGGAGGCAGCAGCCAGGAAUCUUGGGCAAUGGGCGAAAGCCUGACCCAGCAACACCGUGUGGGCGACGAAGGCCUUAGGGUCGUAAAGCCCUGUUGAUAGGGACGAAGGGCGAAGGGUUAAUAGCCCCUAGCUUGACGGUACCUUUCGAGGAAGCCCCGGCUAACUACGUGCCAGCAGCCGCGGUAAUACGUAGGGGGCGAGCGUUGUCCGGAAUUAUUGGGCGUAAAGAGCGUGUAGGCGGUUCGGUAAGUCUGCUGUGAAAUCCUGGGGCUCAACCCUGGGCGUGCAGCGGAUACUGCCGGGCUAGAGGGUGGUAGAGGCGAGUGGAAUUCCGAGUGUAGCGGUGAAAUGCGCAGAUAUUCGGAGGAACACCAGUAGCGAAGGCGGCUCGCUGGGCCACACCUGACGCUGAGCGCGAAAGCGUGGGGAGCGAACAGGAUUAGAUACCCUAGUAGUCC
This 800-nucleotide ribosomal RNA is filed under the name uncultured bacterium. RNAcentral's name for it is "bacterial SSU rRNA". It matches the Rfam family "Bacterial small subunit ribosomal RNA", at positions 8 to 796 of the family's 1533-position model. The record is from RNAcentral.